GGCUCAGAAUGAACGCGGCGGCGUGCUUAACACAUGCAAGUCGAACGAGGCUGGGGGGGCAACUCUCCAGUCGAGUGGCGGACGGGUGAGUAACACGUGGGUAACCUGCCCGGAAGUGGGGAAUACCUCGGGGAAACUCGAGCUAAUACCGCAUGACAUCUUCGGGACGAAAGUCCUGACGAUCAAAGCGGGGUCGCAAGAUCUCGCGCUACCGGAUGGGCCCGCGCCCGAUUAGCUAGUUGGCGAGGUAACGGCUCACCAAGGCUUCGAUCGGUAACCGGCCUGAGAGGGCGAUCGGUCACACCGGAACUGAGACACGGUCCGGACUCCUACGGGAGGCAGCAGUGGGGAAUCUUGCGCAAUGGGCGAAAGCCUGACGCAGCAACGCCGCGUGGAGGAUGAAGGCCCUUGGGUUGUAAACUCCUGUCGGUUGGGAAGAAAUCUUGCGGGGCUCAUACCUCCGCAAGUUGACUGUACCAGCAAAGGAAGCCCCGGCUAACUCUGUGCCAGCAGCCGCGGUAAUACAGAGGGGGCCAGCGUUAUUCGGAAUUAUUGGGCGUAAAGGGCGCGUAGGCGGCCUUGCGUGUCUUUCGUGAAAUCCCUCGGCUUAACUGAGGACGUGCGGAAGAAACUGCAGGGCUCGAGUCCGGGAGAGGGGGGUGGAAUUCCCAGUGUAGCGGUGAAAUGCGUAGAUAUUGGGAGGAACACCGGUGGCGAAGGCGGCCCCCUGGACCGGUACUGACGCUGAGGCGCGAAAGCGUGGGUAGCAAACGGGAUUAGAUACCCCGGUAGUCCACGCCGUAAACGAUGGGCACUUGGUGUCGCGGGUAUCGACCCCUGCGGUGCCGAAGCUAACGCAUUAAGUGCCCCGCCUGGGGA
Molecule: ribosomal RNA, 879 nt
Filed under: uncultured bacterium
Lineage: Bacteria
Description: bacterial SSU rRNA
Rfam family: Bacterial small subunit ribosomal RNA
Source: RNAcentral